CGGACGGGUGAGUAACGCGUGGGUAACCUGCCCCAUACCGGGGGAUACCACCUGGAAACAGGUGCUAAUACCGCAUAAGCGCACGGGAGCGCAUGCUCCUGUGUGAAAAACUCCGGUGGUAUGGGAUGGACCCGCGUCUGAUUAGCCAGUUGGCAGGGUAACGGCCUACCAAAGCAACGAUCAGUAGCCGGCUUGAGAGAGUGACCGGCCACAUUGGGACUGAGACACGGCCCAGACUCCUACGGGAGGCAGCAG
Molecule: ribosomal RNA, 255 nt
Filed under: uncultured bacterium
Lineage: Bacteria
Description: partial 16S ribosomal RNA
Rfam family: Bacterial small subunit ribosomal RNA
Source: RNAcentral